RNAcentral lists this ribosomal RNA (774 nucleotides) under uncultured Neocallimastigales. Its description in RNAcentral is "partial large subunit ribosomal RNA". It matches the Rfam family "Eukaryotic large subunit ribosomal RNA", at positions 23 to 619 of the family's 3401-position model. The record is from RNAcentral. Lineage: Eukaryota; Fungi; Neocallimastigomycota; Neocallimastigomycetes; Neocallimastigales.
AGAGAGAGACAUGCGCGCAUAUCAAUAAGCGGAGGAAAAGAAACUAACAAGGAUUCCCUUAGUAACGGCGAGUGAAGCGGGAAGAGCUCAAAUUUGAAAUCUUCAAGGUUUUACCUUGACGAAUUGUAGUUUAAAGAAGUGUUUUCUGCUGAAGUUUUGGUAAAAGUUCUUUGGAAUAGGACAUCAUAGAGGGUGAGAAUCCCGUAUUUGACCAUUAUUUUCAGCUUUGUGAUACACUUUCAAAGAGUCGGAUUGUUUGGGAAUGCAGUCCAAAAUGGGUGGUAAAUUUCAUCUAAAGCUAAAUAUUGGCGAGAGACCGAUAGCGAACAAGUACCGUGAGGGAAAGAUGAAAAGAACUUUGAAAAGAGAGUUAAACAGUACGUGAAAUUGUCAAAAGGGAAGCGUUUGACACCAGUGUUGUUUUCUCGAAAAUCAAUUAAAAAUGGCUCGAUUUUGUAUUGCUUGAGACCUUAAAAGCUCACUGUACAUUUUUCGUGUCUUUUUUAAUGCACUUUUCGUUUAACAAGUCAACAUCAGUUUCUUUUGUUGUAAAAGGGUCAUUGGAAGGUGGCUUUCUUUUCGGAGAAAGUGUUUAUAGCCUUUGGCCUCUGCAAUCGGAGAGACUGAGGUCUGCAGCGUAGACUCUUCGGGGUUAGAUACAUUUGUGCUAAGUUAUAGCUUUUUAUAGACAACUUGUUGACUAUAAUUAGUCUUGUAGCUUACUCGCUUAUGCUAUUUUACCUACGCUUAGGAUGUUGAAGAUGUAGCACAUCA